UACGGAGGGUGCAAGCGUUAUCCGGAUUCACUGGGUUUAAAGGGUGCGUAGGCGGGCAUGUAAGUCAGUGGUGAAAUCUCAGAGCUUAACUCUGAAACUGCCAUUGAUACUAUGUGUCUUGAAUUUCCUGGAGGUUAGCGGAAUAUGUCACGUAGCGGUGAAAUGCUUAGAUAUGACAUAGAACACCGAUUGCGAAGGCAGCUGACUACGGGUAGAUUGACGCUGAGGCACGAAAGCGUGGGGAUCAAACAGG
Molecule: ribosomal RNA, 253 nt
Filed under: uncultured bacterium
Lineage: Bacteria
Description: partial 16S ribosomal RNA
Rfam family: Bacterial small subunit ribosomal RNA
Source: RNAcentral